AACUUUUGGCAAUGGAUCUCUUGGUUCUGGCAUCGAUGAAGAACGCAGCGAAAUGCGAUAAGUAAUGUGAAUUGCAGAAUUCAGUGAAUCAUCCAAUCUUUGAACGCACAUUGCGCCCCUUGGUAUUCCGAGGGGCAUGCCUGUUCGAGCGUCAUUAUAACCACUCAAGCCUCGGCUUGGUCUUGGGGUUCGCGGUCUCGCGUCCCUUAAAAUCAGUGGCGGUGCCGUCUGGCUCUAAGCGUAGUAAUUCUCUCGCUAUAGGGUCCCGGCGGUUGCCUGCCAGAACCCCCCAUUUUUUACGGUUGACCUCGGAUCAGGUAGGGAUACCCGCUGAACUUAAGCAUAUCAAUAAGCGGAGGCU
RNAcentral lists this unclassified non-coding RNA (361 nucleotides) under uncultured Meliniomyces. RNAcentral's name for it is "sequence contains ITS2". The stretch from base 1 to 154 matches the Rfam family "5.8S ribosomal RNA". Lineage: Eukaryota; Fungi; Ascomycota; Leotiomycetes; Helotiales; Helotiaceae. The record is from RNAcentral.